Molecule: long non-coding RNA, 3214 nt
Organism: Glycine soja
Lineage: Eukaryota; Viridiplantae; Streptophyta; Magnoliopsida; Fabales; Fabaceae
Exons: 2
Source: RefSeq, a predicted model, not a curated record
AAGCGUUGCGAGUAGAAGCAAGAUGAGAUGAAAUGAGUAAAAGGGAUAAAGGAUUCAGAAGAAGAAUAAGGCGAGGUGAUGUUUGGGAAACGUUACAGUAGGUGUGGCCGCAGUGAUUCCUAAUCGUUAUUUGUCUCCCUCAAAUGUCGCAGGCCCAAAGUCCAAUCAGCCCAAUUUCCGAUACAUCAUUACCAUAACCAACAUUUGGUACCCCUCACUCAUCAAACGGCAGGGAACGCCCCUUUCUUAAUCCGACGCUCAUCAUUCCAUCAUAUCCUCUUUCUCUUUCUCUCCGCCCACACCAUUGCACACACCCUCUCUCUCUUUAUCAUGUCGUUCGUGGUCACUUUUGUCUUCUCCUUAAACGUCACAUUCACGUUCACCCUUCAGAGUAAAUGUUAUUGCUAGCUCAUCACCAUUAAUAAAUAAUUUUGCUUUGCUUGACUUCAUAGUCAUAUAAGAUAGAUAGAUUUAGUAGGAAAAAAAAAAAAAAAAACCAACCCCAAAGGUAAAAAAGUGUUUUCAAGAGUGUGACUUGUGACAUUUAAGGGUCUGUGUGUCGGAGGAGAAAAGCUGCUAUCCAUCAUCUUCAUUUCCCAAAGGGUGCAAGUGCAACUAUUACAAACUUCAGUCUUCAGACUCUGAGCCUGAGGUGUGUGUAUGUGUGUGGGUGAGGGUUGGGAUCUCAUACGUGUCAUUGCUACAUGUUGCAUGAUACACACUGUAAUUGUUCCCUACCUAUAGGUCAGAAAAUCAAAGUUUUACUGCCACCCAGCAGACUCAUAGCAACCCUUUUAGAUUUGAGUAUACACUCCAUUUUUUGGGUGUAUGAAUGGAAAGAGAGGACAAAGAAGAAAAACAUGAUGUGAUGGGAUAUAAAGAGAAAGAUAGGAAGAAAAUGAGGUGAAAAUGAAAUGAAAGAGAACGCGAGCAAAUGUUAAGUAUUUUCCUUCAGAUUCUAUUACUUGUGUCCCAAGUGAAAAUUGAUUCAAACGUUUUGUUUCCAUGGCUUGCAUUUUGUAUAAAUAACAGAAAAUUUAUACUAAAGAACUUAAGAUUGCAAAUAUGAAUGCUUUCAUUCUUGUAUAUUUUUAGCAUUCUAUGUGGAAGUGUGUAUAUUCAACAAAGAAGUUAAUCAAGAGGCUAGCUAUUUGAUUUGAGAAAACAUUUUUUAUUUGCACUUCAAAUUACAAAAACAAUGCUAGGUCCCUUGUUUUCACUUUUUUUCUAUACAAACUUUUGAAAAUAGAAAAUAAAGUGACAUUUUUGUAAUUAAAAAUAAAAAAUGUUUUCAAACCAAUAUUUUAGUUAAUUGGAUUCAUUUUCAUUUCAGAACCGACUUAAGAAGUUAUAAGUAGUGUUUUGAUUUUCCAAAGAGCUUCACUUGAAAUUGUGUUAUUUUUUAUUUUCAUUCUGUUUCAUGGUUUAUAGGUCAAAGUGAUUGUUUAAAUUAUGCGUCCACUUAUUAUGUACCUGCUUUCUCUAUUUGUGCAAAAUCUUAUAUAAUCUUAGCAGCUCAUAUUGAAUAUUUCAUCGUUUUGUACAACUUCUUUUGAUAAGAAAUUCAAAUAAUGAUUGAUAAGGCUAUAGUUUUAAAUUUGAUUGUCCAAUUUUUUCUUUCUAAAAAUAUUUAGGCCAAUGAUUUAGCCUCAUAACUUUAUCUUUUUUUUUAAAAAAAAAAAUCUAGUGCACCAAAGUUACAAAACUUUAUAGUGAAACUUUAAUUUACAAUUAAGGAUGUACUUGUAUUUUUUUUAAUUAAUGUUUUGUGACCAACCAUUUUCAAGUGACAUUUUGGAGCUCAGUAAUUAAGGAUCAAAUGGAAGCUGGCAUUGAGACAAUAGCUUAAUUCAUGGUGACAUAACAAAAUCUGACAAAGUGUGGUCAAAGUUGUCAGAAAAGCCAGUAAUUAUGAAAAAUAUUUUUGUCAAGUUUUGGCUAAUUGAUACUUUUUUUUUCUCACAAGUCAAGUAUUAUCAUUUCAAAAUUGAUAUCUCUUCCAUGCACAAUUUUUAUUCUUGCUUGUCUUCUCCCGUCUUCAUUGCUGUCCUCAGUAGGUAUUUGCAUUGAACUUACCAAUUAUUAAUAAUAUUAAUUCAUUUAUUAUUAGGAGUUUAUUAUAGUCUGUUAAGUUGUAAAGGUAAAUAGGAUCAAAUUUAAUAACCUAACUCAUUUGGGUGUUUCUAGUAUUUUUUUUUUUCUGCACAAGUUAUCAACUUUUGAAAACUUGAACUUUUGGACUUACACUGAUUUCUAGUUACUUUUGACUGACAUUUAAUUUUGUGUCUGCUAGUAAUUUUCUAUUUACAUGCAGAUAUAGGAUGAAGAGUUGGAUUCAUCCUAAUCACUAAACAUACAUGGAUUGAGAAGAUGUCAUUUUAUAUUUGUGGUGAAUAAUUUUGUGUUCAUGCCUGUGUCACUAGUUGAUCAAUUAGUUCCUGAAGAGAAAGCUAGCAAAAUCCACCCUUGGAUUGUAGUGGGGUAGCUGACAAAAUAUCGGGAUGAUUGGAAUUUGAAAAUGCUAAAGGAAUAAAAGUCGAAAGUACUUGUGCUGACCUUACUUUAGGUUUGUGGGAACAUUUCACCCUUGAAGAAAAAUUUGAUAUCAUGUUUAUCAUUAUGUGAAUAACCCUUACAUUGUACUUUAUUUAUUUGCCUUGUGGUAUGCGAUGUGUUGUUUCGAAAUAAUUUGUAAAGAUUUAUUUCUUACUGUUUUUGUUUGUGAAGUAUUUUUCAGUCUUUAUGUUUUCAGCUUAGAAUGAAGUAUCUGCACAGAUGCUGAAGACAAUAAUGAGUUGAUUAUAAGGGAAUUUUAUCUCAAACCUCUCUCACUUUUGAAGUGCCAAGACGAAGCAUAUCUAAAGACUAAAUUAUGGUUUAUGAUAUGAGGAUUGUGUGGCUGUAAUUGCUGCUCUCUUCAAAUAUCAGUAACUGUGCAGGUCGUUGAAACUUGCAAGUUGAGCAGGGAAUGUGGUAUCCAUGUCAUCAUUAUCAUUAGGAGAUAUUUUUGGAACAACUGCUUUGAAUUUAUCAUCAUUUUUAAACUACUACUCAGUCUGUAAAUGUUAGCCCAGUUUUAGGCACGAGGCGCAAAUUAACCAGUUGGAACCAAAAAAAUAUGCUUUUACUAUUAGAAUUUUGUGUUCAGAUUCUGAAAGUAAAAUUUCCUUGUGUUUUUCUUUUUAUAUAAGAUUAUUGGUAUUCAAAGUUCAAA